GCCGAGGUGACGUAACGGGUAGCCGUACGAGACUUAAAAUCUCGGGGUCGUAAGACCGUGUGGGUUCGAGUCCCACCCUCGGCACCC
RNAcentral lists this transfer RNA (87 nucleotides) under Candidatus Tayloriibacteriota bacterium. RNAcentral's name for it is "tRNA-Leu". It matches the Rfam family "tRNA". From Rfam's summary of the family: Transfer RNA (tRNA) molecules are approximately 80 nucleotides in length. The record is from RNAcentral. Lineage: Bacteria; Candidatus Tayloriibacteriota.